Molecule: ribosomal RNA, 500 nt
Filed under: uncultured bacterium
Lineage: Bacteria
Description: partial 16S ribosomal RNA
Rfam family: Bacterial small subunit ribosomal RNA
Source: RNAcentral
AUUGAACGCUGGCGGAAUGCUUUACACAUGCAAGUCGAACGGCAGCACGGACUUCGGUCUGGUGGCGAGUGGCGAACGGGUGAGUAAUGUAUCGGAACGUGCCCGGUCGUGGGGGAUAACGUAGUGAAAAUUACGCUAAUACCGCAUACGAUCUAUGGAUGAAAGCGGGGGAUCGCAAGACCUCGCGCGAUUGGAGCGGCCGAUAUCAGAUUAGGUAGUUGGUGGGGUAAAGGCCCACCAAGCCAACGAUCUGUAGCUGGUCUGAGAGGACGACCAGCCACACUGGAACUGAGACACGGUCCAGGCUCCUACGGGAGGCAGCAGCGGGGAAUUUUGGACAAUGGGCGAAAGCCUGAUCCAGCCAUCCCGCGUGCAGGAUGAAGGCCCUCGGGUUGUAAACUGCUUUUGUACAGAACGAAAAGGUUUCUACUAAUACUAGGAGCUCAUGACGGUACUGUAAGAAUAAGCACCGGCUAACUACGUGCCAGCCGCCGCCGUAA